Molecule: small RNA, 211 nt
Filed under: Providencia sneebia DSM 19967
Lineage: Bacteria; Pseudomonadati; Pseudomonadota; Gammaproteobacteria; Enterobacterales; Morganellaceae
Description: SraG RNA
Rfam family: SraG RNA
About the family: This RNA was discovered in E. coli during a large scale screen. Evidence was found for specific cleavage of this RNA.
Source: Rfam by way of RNAcentral
CUCUUUACCACAGCCUCGCGACUAAUGAGAAUACUGAUCUUCAAAUUAUCAGUGCUCUCAUUAGCCGCGCGAAUCGGUUGUAGCUAAAGAGGCUUCAUUAAAAACAAUUAAUUACACUUUACAGCUUAGCAUUUAAGUUAAGUAUAAUUCGAGCAUUACUUCAACUUUAAACACAACUUUUAGAAGAAAAGGGGCCUAUUGGCCCCUUUCC